AUUGAACGCUGGCGGGAGGCCUAACACAUGCAAGUCGAGCGGAGCGGCGGAGGGGGGAGGAAUGCCUAGGAAUCGGCCUGGUAGUGGGGGAGAACGUCCGGAAACGGGCGCUAAUACCGCAUACUAUCAGAUGAGCCUAGGUCGGAUUAGCUAGUUGGUGGGGUAAAGGCGUACCAAGGCGACGAUCCGUAACUGGUUUGAGAGGAAGAGCAGUCACACUGGAACUGAGACACGGUCCAGACUCCUACGGGAGGCAGCAGUGGGGAAUAUUGGACAAUGGGCGAAAGCCUGAUCCAGCCAUGCCGCGUGUGUGAAGAAGGUCUUCGGAUUGUAAAGCACUUUAAGUUGGGAGGCGUUACCAACAGAAUAAGCACCGGCUAACUUCGUGCCAGCAGCCGCGGUAAUUC
This 407-nucleotide ribosomal RNA is filed under the name uncultured bacterium. RNAcentral's name for it is "partial 16S ribosomal RNA". It matches the Rfam family "Bacterial small subunit ribosomal RNA", at positions 29 to 526 of the family's 1533-position model. The record is from RNAcentral.